Long non-coding RNA from Gopherus evgoodei (Goodes thornscrub tortoise), 4216 nucleotides. RefSeq lists it as uncharacterized. NCBI's taxonomy places the organism in Eukaryota, Metazoa, Chordata, Testudines, Testudinidae. The transcript has 4 exons. The record is from RefSeq and is a predicted model, not a curated record.
GAUGAUGCAACGGAACGGGGAUCUUUCGCCGGGCCGUGCGUAGAGGAAACCCGGCGGCCGAUUGCAUCAGCUUUAAGGACGUGGAGUGACAACCUGGCAGAGGUCAACCCUCAGAAGAUGGGGCCUGUGUCACCUGUUUGCAAAAUUAGAUGUGGUGCCCAUUAAGAUAGUUGCAGAAGCUGAGGGCCUGCGGUACAGCAGACCUAUCCAUCUGAGGACGUCUAGGCCUACCCUGUAUGCUUUAAGCCCUGAGAGAAAUAUCUCCAUUCUAUCCUACUGAACAUGUUCUUCACAUCUGGAAAAGUGGAGAUGGCAGUGUAAUUGGAAAGUCCACUCUCCUAAUCCUGAGCUGUACAGAGCACUGGCAAUUCCAAUGGGCGCUACAGGUGCUGAUCAGGCCCAAAACGAGAGGUCUCUAAAUGGGAGCUGCAUUUCUCACCGAGAAAAGAACAAGUGGAAGAGACAGACUAGUGUGAGCAUGCAUUUCUCUGUCCAUAUGCAGAUGUUUUGCCAUAUUGGCAAUAUUUUGAGUUCCAUGGUAAGUACAUAUUGACAAUUGGCAAAGUCUCAGUGGGCCCAAGUUGGGAGGAGAUUGAAGAAAUCAAGGCUUUGCUGUGAUCUGCAGCAAGAACAUGCUCCUUCUCUGUGCAGAGAAAGUACUAUUGGGGGGAUUCUGCAUCUGAUGUUUCACAACAGCAGAUGAUCAUUGUUGGCCAGAUUGAGAGCCCCUUACUUGCAAUGAUAAGCAGUUGUUCACAUGAGGAGUCCUGUUGUAACGAUUUGUAUAGGUAACUGUUCAUCAGUAUUCAGGGUUUACAUUCUGGCCCUGUGUGUUUCCCAACAGAGGUUGUGAGAUGACAAGAGUCUUAUCUUAUUUAAGUGGAAGCAAGAAAUGAACAUUGGAACGUGGCAGGCAGGAGGCUGGAGCUGUCACUUAGCUCUCCUUGUUCUCCAGCCUGGUCACAGACAUGCAAGACUCUAACCCAGCAAUGGAUGAUUAAUUGCUGGACAUAGCGAAGUCUAGGUGCUCGUCAGAAGGGCUACAAACUGGAAAACAGGUUAGUUUUGCAGACAAGUCUUCCAUUGUCCAGGGCUGGCUCCAGCUUUUUGCCGCCCCAAGUGGUGAAGAAAAAAAAUUAAAACAAACAAACAAACGAUUGAGCAGCUGCUGAAGUGCCGACGACGUGUGAAGAGAAGGAGAGUGAAGGACCCGCCGCCAAACUGCCGCCAAAGAACCAGACGUGCCGCCCCAACAACAGUGGAAUGCCACCCCUUUCUAUUGGCCGCCCCAGAGACCUGCCUCCUUCGCUGACCUUCCACCCUGUGCCAUCAUGUGUUCAUGAGCGAACUGGAACCAAAUGGCAGCAGAUGGAUGGGUAUCCUCACAUAGAGGUAUGUGCUGUACCCCAGCAACCCUUACUCUGGUACCUAUCUACCUCUCAGAUGGGCAGCCCUGUGGGACUAGAGGCUGGUCUUUUAUACUGCCUUGUUCCUAGCCAGAUUACCAGUCACAUGACCUGCCUUUAGCAAAAAGGGUGCCAAAGGCUGAGGAAGAACACCCCAAACAUGGAUUCUCAACAGCAACUAAGGGAAAUCCAAGAUGGCUGUGUGCAGAUAACAUAAAAAUUGAAAAAUAAAGAAAGUUCCCCUACAGAGGGACAGGCAAUGAGCUUGAGCAAGUCCUGGGGAGGGUCAGCAGCAGAGCCCCUGAAGGACAGCAACAGUAGGCUGGGGAAGUUCUGUGGGUGUAGGGGUGGUUCCUUGUGGGGAAUGAGCUGGGGAUGGAGCCCAUGAACGGCUUGGCUAAAGAGACCUGAGGAAGGUCAAGGAGGAGAUGAGCAACAUAAGCAGUAGCCAAGGGGAAAGUGAAGCUGGAGUAUGUGAGUAACAGGGACAGUUGCUUCCUGAACCCAGUGUGGAGGGAGGGACUCAGCUCCCCAAUACCCAGUUGUGCCACCUGCAGCUAAGUGGCAAAGGCCUUAUGACGGUGCAGGCUCAGUCCUCAGAGGGUUAAUGUAGCAGAUGCUAGAAGUAAGGACGCAGCUAGAUUGCUUACCUGCUCCAUUACCCCAGGUAGUCUAAUGAGUGCAUCUGGGCCCCAGCUGAGCUGCCUGAUUGGCCUAACCCUCCGAUUGGCUGAGGGGAUCAGCAGACUUGUUCUGAAGGCUGCAACAGGUGAGUACUAGCUGCUCAAAGCUUUUGUCCAUGGUUAUGGUACCUGUUGCCUUGCCGUGCUACAGGUAAUCAGGUUCUGACCUUUAAGUCUGGCUCUGACCCUGGAUGCCCAUUCCUGGCUGCUGACUCCUGCUCUAACCACUGUGACAGCCCAUGUCCCAGUCCCUGGCAGUUAACUCUGACCUGUUAGAGGGGGUUGGGGAAAUAUAAAGGGCUGCCUGGGAGGCAGUAAAGGGAGGAAAGCUGGGUGUGAGUAGGAGCAUAGCUUACAGCUCUGCAUAAUUGUAGAGACUGUUGAUGGUAGUUGCUGCCUUUGUUUUGUUAGUGCUACUGCUUUUCUGUUGGCAGUCUGUCUACGUUCCCAUACUGGUGGCCUGACUGUUUUAUUUAUUGCUGGGAGAUCAGUGUGUCAGCCCACUGGUAUCUGCCAAAAAGUAAAAUGGUCAAGACCUCAGAACAGGCAAAGGACCUCCCCUACACCAAGGGGAGAAACUUUGUUGUGUAGGGUUAGACUUUUGACUGCUCUGUAAGGGGAAGACUUUCACUUUGAUUAGAGGGCCAAAGCACUAAAUCAUUGAACCGCCACAAAGAGACUGUAGACCACAGCUGGGAAACUGAGGUACAUAACCAUCCAGACAGCAGAGGAAAGCUGCUCCUUCACAGGGUCCCUUCACCUGUACCUUACUACAUCCUUCAUUGUUUGCAAGAACUAUCCCACAUCUUGCCUGCUUUACAACAUUUGACUUUGCUGGAAGGAACACAAGUGAGUGAGUAGCUGCCCACUGUACCCAAUGUGUUCAAUAUUUUGUCAGUUAACUCAAGUGUAACAUUCUGCAGAUAGUCUGGGAAGAUACAGGUUAAGGGUCAAGGCUCCUAAGUGACUACAGAUAGGAUUCAGAACUUUAAACUAUCAAAUUGUUUUAUGUAGUGUAUAUAAGGGAAUUAGGAUGUGACGGAUUUGAGAUGUUGGAGGUCUGGAAGUGUCAGCAGAUUGUUAUACUGAGGUGUGCCAGAUGUUUUUGUAGGCACUGCGAUUAUUCCUAUUCUUGUGUACAUGUAACACUUAGAUAUCUGUGUGCAUUAGGGAUUAUAUUCUAGCUCCAUGGGGAAUGGUCACUGAGCUUCCACCAGGAACUAAAAUCUGGGGGGUAUAAUUAAUGCAAAUUCUAGGACAGGUAAACAACUCUGGGGAAUCCCCCUAUGCCCCCUGGGAAUUGCCUGUACGGGCUCAGAUUAGGUUCAAGAGGCCCAGCAAACAAAGAAAGGGCUCUUGGUAUAAAUGGUCAGCCUGAACUGGCAGGGGGACCCUCAUUUGAUCCUCAAACUGAUAUGAAGUUGUAACCAAGAGGGUGAAACUCUUUGGGAAGGGCUUAAAGGAUAGGUAACUUGCCAGGGUCUCCAAGUGGAACACAGGUGACAUGUUUCUCUUUGGUUCCAGGAUGCACACACACUUGCUUUUGCUCUCAUUCCUUAAAGAGGCUUUGGAAUUUGUGCCUUCAGUGAAAAGCUUCUGGGCUCUAAGCCUGUGCUCACUGGGCUUGCUCUAAUUUCCUGACACUGAGUAUGUCUAUGUCUCAGUAGAUAAGCGAUCAGGAUUUGCGAUAUCUCGUAGGGAAUUCAUUUUCAAAUACAAGUGAAAGCCCAUUUCUUUACAGGUAUUAGAGCUUCGAAACCAUAAUGAGAGAGGUUCUGAGACAUUAACAGCUGCAGUAAUCACAGAUGGGUUGUCUGAAUCUCCAAGUUCUUGUGAUGUUGUUGAAGGGGAGCUUUGUUUUCAAGUAAGUCAACAUGUGUCUAUCUUAAGUUAAACUAAUGUGAACCACUCCAAAAUGAAUUCUCUUUAGUUUAUUAUGAAGAAAUGCCCCUCACAGGCAGUGUGGAAUGAGGAAAUAGAAAGCACAAGUUCCCAUUUGUGCUCACAAAUGCCACAGCUGCAAUGUCUUUAAAAGCACAUCCGUUUUAUUUCAAUGUAAACAGAACGAAGCACUUCUUGUCAGUGUCAUGGGGUUGGCAGUAGAUCUCAUUGCCUCUUCUGUGUGGU